Long non-coding RNA from Cimex lectularius (bed bug), 347 nucleotides. RefSeq lists it as uncharacterized. The transcript is spliced from 3 exons. Lineage: Eukaryota; Metazoa; Arthropoda; Insecta; Hemiptera; Cimicidae. The record is from RefSeq and is a predicted model, not a curated record.
AUGAUGGUUAUUUUAUUUGGAUUGUUUCGGAUCUUGCCGAGUACGCACGCUAAAUUUUAGCUCUGCAUUAAAUUUGAUUUUUAAGUGGUUAAAAGGAGUGUUUUCAACUUGUGCGUGGGUGGAAAUUGUUCGUCUUUUAUUCUUCUUCAAAACUUUGCAUUGUUCAACAAGAACAUUUCAGAUCAUCCUCAUCCUCUCAACCGAUUACAGAAGUGGGAAACCUAUUAGAUCGGCUAUAGACCGGCAUCUAUCGCACCGGAUAAGUUUUCGGAACAAAUUCGAAGGAUACCUGCAAAUUCUCAUCUUCCGGGUGUCUCGCCAAUAAAUCAGCUUUCGUUACCUACUUC